UACGGGGGGGGCAAGCGUUGUUCGGAAUUACUGGGCGUAAAGGGCUCGUAGGCGGCCAACUAAGUCAGACGUGAAAUCCCUCGGCUUAACCGGGGAACUGCGUCUGAUACUGGAUGGCUUGAGUUUGGGAGAGGGAUGCGGAAUUCCAGGUGUAGCGGUGAAAUGCGUAGAUAUCGUAAGGAAGGACAGUGGCGAAGGCGGGUCUCUGGACAGUUCCUGACGCUGAGGCACGAAGGUCAGGGGAGCAAACGGG
RNAcentral lists this ribosomal RNA (253 nucleotides) under uncultured bacterium. RNAcentral describes it as "partial 16S ribosomal RNA". It matches the Rfam family "Bacterial small subunit ribosomal RNA", at positions 524 to 776 of the family's 1533-position model. The record is from RNAcentral.